GCUGGCGGCAGGCUUAACACAUGCAAGUCGAGCGGUAACAGGGGAGCUUGCUCCUGCUGACGAGCGGCGGACGGGUGAGUAACGCGUAGGAAUCUGCCUAGUAGAGGGGGACAACAUGUGGAAACGCAUGCUAAUACCGCAUACGCCCUAAGGGGGAAAGGAGGGGACUCUUCGGAGCCUUCCGCUAUUAGAUGAGCCUGCGUGAGAUUAGCUAGUUGGUAGGGUAAAGGCCUACCAAGGCGACGAUCUCUAACUGGUCUGAGAGGAUGACCAGUCACACUGGGACUGAGACACGGCCCAGACUCCUACGGGAGGCAGCAGUGGGGAAUAUUGGACAAUGGGCGCAAGCCUGAUCCAGCCAUGCCGCGUGUGUGAAGAAGGCCUUAGGGUUGUAAAGCACUUUCAGGGGUGAGGAAGGGUAAUGGAUUAAUACUUCAUUACUUUGACGUUAGCCCCAGAAGAAGCACCGGCUAACUCUGUGCCAGCAGCCGCGGUAAUACAGAGGGUGCAAGCGUUAAUCGGAAUUACUGGGCGUAAAGCGCGCGUAGGUGGUUUGUUAAAUCGGAUGUGAAAUCCCAGGGCUCAC
This 586-nucleotide ribosomal RNA is filed under the name Alcanivorax sp. MH160. Its description in RNAcentral is "bacterial SSU rRNA". It matches the Rfam family "Bacterial small subunit ribosomal RNA", at positions 35 to 612 of the family's 1533-position model. Lineage: Bacteria; Pseudomonadati; Pseudomonadota; Gammaproteobacteria; Oceanospirillales; Alcanivoracaceae. The record is from RNAcentral.